RNAcentral lists this small RNA (1034 nucleotides) under Pongo abelii (Sumatran orangutan). RNAcentral's name for it is "retained intron". Lineage: Eukaryota; Metazoa; Chordata; Mammalia; Primates; Hominidae. The record is from RNAcentral.
ACCAAGCACGGCCUUCCCACUGGGAACACAAACUCGCCGGCGGGAAGAACCCGGAAAGAAACCUGUGGAUCUCCCUUUGAGAUUGUCCAAAGAGAAGAAAGGUGACCUCACAUUCGUGCCCCUUAGCAGCACUCUGCAGAAAUGCCUCCUCAGCUGCAAAACGGCCUGAACCUCUCGGCCAAAGUUGUCCAGGGAAGCCUGGACAGCCUGCCCCAGGCAGUGAGGAAGUUUCUCGAGAAUAACGCUGAGCUGUGUCAGCCUGAUCACAUCCACAUCUGCGACGGCUCUGAGGAGGAGAAUGGGCGGCUUCUGGGCCAGAUGGAGGAGGAGGGCAUCCUCAGGCGGCUGAAGAAGUAUGACAACUGGUAAGCUCGGCCCCCGCUGCCUGCCCUAGCCCCCUGCAGGCAGGGCUCCCCUGCGUCUCCUGGGAGUUGGUGGAGAAAGGUGAACGAAGGCCUUUGGGGAGUUUCAGAUUCUUGAGAAGAUGAAUGCAAUGGUCAGAACCAUACAGACUUGAAUUUUGUGACAUUAGUGGGCCAGCCCAAGCUUUAAAUGAGGUGGUGUGCACAAAAGCUCUGCCAACUAGAUUCUUGAUAAAAACAAAAGACAGCCCCUCUCCUACAGACCAGCUCCUAGUUGAGUAAAUGUCCACCUGGCCGUGUCUUAGAUGGUCUGUGUGUUCACGCUGAUGGACUGUUAGCGUGCUCAGCACUCUGCUAGGCAUGGAAAGCCACGGUACUGAAGGAGACGGUUCACUGCCCGUGGUGUUGGCUGAAAGGAAGCCUGUGAUUUUUGCAGCUGGUUGGCUCUCACUGACCCCAGGGAUGUGGCCAGGAUCGAAAGCAAGACGGUUAUCGUCACCCAAGAGCAAAGAGACACAGUGCCCAUCCCCAAAACAGGCCUCAGCCAGCUCGGUCGCUGGAUGUCAGAGGAGGAUUUUGAGAAAGCGCUCAAUGCCAGGUUCCCAGGGUGCAUGAAAGGUGAGCGGAACAUUGAUUUGAUUGGGCAAAAUAGCAGAGAGCCUUUUCUUAUUA